This 496-nucleotide ribosomal RNA is filed under the name uncultured bacterium. RNAcentral describes it as "bacterial SSU rRNA". It matches the Rfam family "Bacterial small subunit ribosomal RNA", at positions 29 to 511 of the family's 1533-position model. The record is from RNAcentral.
AGUGAACGCUGGCGGCGUGCUUAACACAUGCAAGUCGAACGAGAACGGAUUAUAGCUUGCUAUAAUUGUCAGCUAAGUGGCGCACGGGUGAGUAAUGUAUAGGUAAUAUGCCUCUUACUAAGGGAUAACAAAUGGAAACGUUUGCUAAUACCUUAUACUCCUUAUUAACAUAAGUUAAUAAGGGAAAGAUUUAUUGGUAAGAGAUUAGCCUGUAUUGUAUCAGUUAGUUGGUGGGGUAAUGGCUUACCAAGACUAUGACACAUAACUGGUUUGAGAGGAUGAUCAGUCACACUGGAACUGAGACACGGUCCAGACUCCUACGGGAGGCAGCAGUGGGGAAUAUUGCACAAUGGACGGAAGUCUGAUGCAGCAACGCCGCGUGGAGGAUGAAGGCCCUCGGGUUGUAAACUGCUUUUGUACGGAACGAAAAGGUUUCCAUUAUACUGGGAGCUCAUGACGGUACCGUAAGAAUAAGCACCGGCUAACUACGUGCCAG